CCUACGGGUGGCAGCAGUAGGGAAUCUUCCACAAUGGGCGAAAGCCUGAUGGAGCAACGCCGCGUGGGUGAAGAAGGUCUUCGGAUCGUAAAACCCUGUUGUUAGAGAAGAAAGUGCGGGAGAGUAACUGUUCACGUGUCGACGGUAUCUAACCAGAAAGCCACGGCUAACUACGUGCCAGCAGCCGCGGUAAUACGUAGGUGGCAAGCGUUAUCCGGAUUUAUUGGGCGUAAAGGGAACGCAGGCGGUCUGUUAAGUCGGAUGUGAAAGCCUUCGGCUUAACCGGAGUAGUGCAUGGGAAACUGGGAGCCUUGUGUGCAGCAGAGGCGAGUGGAACUCCAUGUGUAGCGGUGAACUGCGUCGCUAUCUGGCAGAACACCAGUGGCGAACGCGGCUCUCUGGUCUGUACCUGACGCUGCGGUUCGAAAGCGUGGGUAGCAAACAGGAUUAGAUACCCUAGUAGUC
Molecule: ribosomal RNA, 465 nt
Filed under: uncultured bacterium
Lineage: Bacteria
Description: partial 16S ribosomal RNA
Rfam family: Bacterial small subunit ribosomal RNA
Source: RNAcentral